AUUGAACGCUGGCGGCAUGCCUUACACAUGCAAGUCGAACGGUAACGGGCCUUCGGGUGCCGAUGAGUGGCGAACGGGCGAGUAAUACACCGGAACGUGCCCGAUCGUGGGGGAUAAGGAGGCGAAAGCUUAGCUAAUACCGCACACGAUCUACGGAUGAAAGCAGUGGACCGCAAGGCCUAGCGCGGACGGAGCGGGCGAUGGCAGAUUAGGUAGUUGGUGGGAUAAAAGUUUACCAAGCCGACGAUCUGUAGCUGAUGUGAGAGGAUGAUCAGCCACACGGGGACUGAGACACGGCCAAGACUCCUACGGGAGGCAGCAGUGGGGAAUUUGAGGCAAUGGGCGCAAGCCUGACCCAGCCAGGCCGCGUGCAGGAUGAAGGCCUUCGGGUUGUAAACAGCUUUUGUACGGAACGAAAAGCCUUCUUUUAAUACAGGAGGGUCAUGACGGUACCGUAAAAAUAAGCACCGGCUAACUACGUG
RNAcentral lists this ribosomal RNA (482 nucleotides) under uncultured bacterium. RNAcentral describes it as "partial 16S ribosomal RNA". It matches the Rfam family "Bacterial small subunit ribosomal RNA", at positions 29 to 507 of the family's 1533-position model. The record is from RNAcentral.